RNA transcript from Cavia porcellus (domestic guinea pig), 6333 nucleotides. It is a transcript of the gene named microtubule associated monooxygenase, calponin and LIM domain containing 2, with no coding region annotated. NCBI's taxonomy places the organism in Eukaryota, Metazoa, Chordata, Mammalia, Rodentia, Caviidae. The transcript is spliced from 26 exons. The record is from RefSeq and is a predicted model, not a curated record.
CCAGCGCAGCCGGUAGAGCCGCGGGCGCCUGGCCACCUAAGCCUGCGCGGGGCCGCCUGGUUCGCACGCAGCUCCGCAGGCGGCCGACAGGUCCCCACCGCCGCCCCCGCAGGCCGAGGGCCGGCAGGCGCCGAUCGGGGGCGGGCAGCCCGCGAGACUCACGGACCAUGGCAACCUGUGCAGGGCUUGUCCUGACAGAAGACUUCAGCCCCUGUGAUGCCUGAGAAUCACGUGGGACGCGUCCCAGGCUGAUCCUCUCUGUCCUCUCCACGCCUCCGCUCCACGAGCCUGCUCAACCAUGGGAGAGAACGAGGAUGAGAAGCAGGCCCAGGCGGGGCAGGUUUUUGAGAACUUUGUCCAGGCUGCCACAUGCAAAGGCACCCUUCAGGCCUUCAACACACUCACCCGCCUCCUGGACCUAGACCCUCUGGACCACAGGAACUUUUACUCCAAGCUCAAGUCCAAGGUGACCACCUGGAAAGCCAAAGCCCUGUGGUACAAACUGGACAAGCGUGGUUCCCACAAAGAGUACAAACGAGGGAAAGCGUGCAUGAACACCAAGUGUCUCAUUGUGGGCGGAGGACCCUGCGGCCUGCGCACUGCCAUCGAACUUGCCUACCUGGGAGCCAAAGUGGUUGUGGUAGAGAAGAGGGACACCUUCUCCCGGAACAACGUGCUGCACCUCUGGCCUUACACCAUCCACGACCUGCGGGGCCUGGGAGCCAAGAAGUUCUACGGGAAGUUCUGUGCCGGCUCCAUCGACCACAUCAGUAUUCGACAGCUGCAGCUCAUCCUGUUCAAGGUGGCCCUGAUGUUGGGGGUUGAAAUCCACGUGAAUGUGGAGUUUGUGAAGGUUCUCGAGCCCCCUGAAGAUCAAGAAAAUCAAAAAAUUGGCUGGAGAGCAGACUUCCUCCCUGCAGACCACCCGCUGUCGGAGUUUGAGUUUGAUGUCAUCAUCGGUGCUGAUGGCCGCAGGAACACCCUGGAAGGGUUCAGGAGGAAGGAGUUCCGAGGGAAGCUGGCCAUCGCCAUCACUGCCAACUUCAUCAACAGGAACAGCACGGCCGAGGCCAAGGUGGAGGAGAUCAGCGGGGUGGCCUUCAUCUUCAACCAGAAAUUUUUUCAGGACCUCAAAGAAGAAACAGGGAUCGAUCUAGAGAACAUUGUUUACUACAAGGACUGCACCCACUAUUUUGUCAUGACUGCCAAGAAGCAGAGCCUGCUCGACAAAGGUGUCAUUAUCAAUGACUGCAUCGACACAGAGCUGCUGCUAUGUGCGGAGAACGUGAACCAGGACAACCUGCUCUCCUAUGCCCGGGAAGCUGCGGACUUUGCCACCAACUACCAGCUGCCAUCCUUAGACUUUGCCAUCAACCACUACGGGCAGCCCGACGUGGCCAUGUUCGACUUCACCUCCAUGUACGCCUCAGAGAACGCCGCCCUGGUGCGCGAACGCCAGGGACACCCGCUGCUCGUGGCCCUCGUGGGUGACAGCCUGCUUGAGCCGUUUUGGCCCAUGGGUACAGGCUGUGCCCGUGGCUUCCUGGCGGCCUUUGACACAGCGUGGAUGGUGAAGAGCUGGGACCAGGGGACUCCUCCCCUGGAAGUGCUGGCUGAAAGGGAAAGUCUUUAUCGGCUAUUACCUCAGACAACUCCAGAGAACAUCAACAAGAACUUUGAGCAGUAUACACUGGACCCAGGGACGCGGUACCCAAACCUCAACUCACACUGUGUCCGGCCCCAUCAGGUAAAGCACCUAUAUGUCACCAAGGAGCUGGACUACCACCCUCUUGAGAGAUUCAACUCACUGCGGAGAUCUGUCAACCUCUCCAGGAGGGAGUCCGAUAUCCAGCCCAGCAAGCUCUUAACCUGGUGCCAGCAGCAGACCGAGGGCUACCAGCACGUCAAUGUCACUGACCUGACCACCUCCUGGCGCAGCGGCCUGGCCCUCUGUGCUAUCAUCCACCGCUUCCGGCCAGAGCUGAUCAACUUCGACUCUCUGAACGAAGAUGAUGCUGUAAAGAAUAACCAGCUGGCAUUUGAUGUGGCCGAACGUGAGUUUGGGAUUCCUCCAGUGACCACCGGCAAAGAGAUGGCAUCAGUCCAGGAGCCUGACAAGCUCAGCAUGGUCAUGUACCUGUCCAAGUUCUAUGAGCUCUUCCGGGGCACCCCGCUGAGGCCUGUGGAUUCUUGGCGCAAAAGCUAUGGAGAAAAUGCCGACCUCAGCUUUGCCAAAUCCUCCAUUUCUAAUAACUAUCUCAACCUCACACUUCCCAGGAAAAGGACCCCUCGGGGAGAUGCCCAAACCGAAGAGAAUGACAUGAACAAGCGGAGGCGGAAAGGCAUCCUCAACCUGGAUGAGGACUGUGUGCGCAGGCCAUCAAGCUUCUCCAGCCGGAGCUUGGGCUCCACUCAAGAGGGUGGCACCAGCAAGGAAGCAGGAAAUCAGAACAAAGUCAAGUCCAUGGCAAAUCAGCUGCUGGCCAAGUUUGAGGAGAGCACGCGGAACCCCACAGUCCUGAGGCAGGAGCGCCGUGUCUCAGGGAUAGGUAAGCCCGUCCCGUGCUCUUCCUCUGACUCUCCUGUAGACUCUCGCUGCCCCACGCCAGAGGAGACCACUCCCAGCCCACCACCUCCUCAGAAAAGGCAGCUCUCCUCUGUGCUUGUCACGGGGCAGGUGCUCAGAGAGCUCAAGCAAGUGUCCACUGGUGGCGAGUGUCCGAGCCGGCCCUGGAGAGCCAGGGCCAAAUCCGACCUGCAGCUGGGCGGCCCAGAAAACCUUGCCACCCUGCCUCCUGCCUGCCAGGGAGCGCUGGCCCUCUCAGGGGUGCUGCGGCGGCUGCAGCAGGUGGAGGAAAAGAUUCUCCAGAAGAGGGCUCAGAACUUGGCCAACAGGGAAUUUCACCAAAAGAACAUUAAAGAGAAGGCAGCUCACCUCGCCUCCAUGUUUGGACACGGGGAUUUCCCACAGAAUAAACUACUGUCUAAAGGCCCGUCUCACACUCAUCCUCCGUCUCCUCCUCCUUGCCUUCCAUCUCCCGAUCCAGCUGCUACUUCCUCUCCCUCCACCACUGAGUCUGCUUCUCCUGCCAGAAAGCUGACAGUAGGAAAAGUGUCCAGUGGAAUAGGGGCUGCAGCUGAAGUCCUGGUCAAUCUGUACUUGAAUGAUCACAGACCUAAGGCCCAGGCCACCUCUCCAGACCUGGAAUCUAUACGGAAGGCAUUUCCCCCGAACCUGGGUGGCUGUGAUACCUGUUACUUCUGUAAGAAGCGUGUGUAUGUGAUGGAGCGGCUUAGCGCCGAGGGUCACUUCUUCCACCGAGAGUGCUUCUGCUGCAGCAUCUGUGCCACCACCUUGCGCCUGGCUACCUACGCUUUUGACUGCGAAGAAGGGAAGUUUUACUGCAAGCCUCAUUUCAUUCACUGUAAAGCCAACAGCAAACAACGGAAGAGAUGGACAGAGUUGAAGCAAGAGCAAGAGGAGGAGGGGACAUGGCAGGAGCAGGAAGGCCCUCGACGAGACACUGCCACCGAGAGCUCUUGUGCAGUGGCCGCCGUCAGCACACCGGAAGGCAGCCCCCCAGGUAUCUCCACCUCCUUGCUUAGGAAGGCACUGAGCUGGCCUCUCGGGCUGUCAAGGGGCCUGCUGGCCAUUCCCCGGAGCCUGCUUAACUGGAUGCAGGGACUCCUGCACACCGCCAGCCUCCAUUUCAGGGACAAUGCUUACAACUACCACUACACGUACGAGCUCCUGAGCCUCGGGCUGCCGCUCCUCUGGGCCUUCUUGGAGGUCCUGGCAGCCAUGUACAGGGAGUCCGAGGACUCCCUCGAGAGCAUCCGAGAUGAGUUGCUGAGGUGGCUCCCUGUCAAACUCCAAUGAAGCACCUGGGUACCCCAAAGCGCCUUACCAUUUCCAGAGUUCAGACGACCGUGUGUAACCUGCUAAGGCUUUGACCGGAAAGUCUAGCAUCUAUAGCCAAUUAGCUCCAAGCCAAAGAAUUUCACAUUGGUCACUUCCACCUGGCCUUGACAGGGUGAACACUGCUCGUGGUGCUAGGGCCAGGGAUGAUGUGAAGGAUUUUUUUUACUAUAGCUUUAUACUGUUUUUUUUAUACCAAAGCGAGCCAUUUGCUGCGUUUACAUUUCAAUUUUUAACUUUCAGUAAGCCAAGAGAAAGCAUUUUUUCUCUGUCAAUUUUUCUACACAUGGGCUUGAUAUUUAUAAUCAGUUUUAUAGACCUCUGCAGUAUUGCAGUGAGUUGUGUCACUACCUACAAAAUUAGUGACCUAGGAUUCCAGAUGCACAAAAAUGAAAAGCGAUCUCUUGACCAGUGCCUUUAAAUUUAUGGAACUGUUGCCACUGGUCAACAGUGCAUGUGAUUUAUAUUUUUUUGUAAUAUGAAAGCAUGUUGAUUUUAGAAGAAAAGAAAAUAGGGAUAGAAUGGAAUCAAAUCUGCAAAAGCACAGAGGAGUAUAUUGACUAUCUGCCCUCCCAGAGAGAGGAGGACUUUUUCUCCCUUGCUUUAAUGUAAAAUAGAAGUUUAAAGGCCUUUUCCCACCUCAAAUCAUAGCCAGAUGACACAGAGCCACAGUUUCAGCUAGAUUUGCAAACGUUCAUUUUUUCCUCUCCACUGCUGGUAGCGUGUGCCCAGGGUGAGCUGUAUCCAGUUGAGGACAGGCUCCUUCAGCUGGUGGCAUCUUAGGCUCUGGGGUCCCUAUCAGCUUCCCUGCCCAGGCUGUAGGCUGAGCCAAGGACACUUGGGGACCAUAAUAGUCAGGCUGAGUGUAGUGGCAGAAGAUGUCCCUUCCCUUGGUGCCCUGGGUAUUUGUUAACACUGGGGAAUAUGGUCUUCUUGGUGACCCCUGCUUGUGACUGCCAUGACAUGUGGCCCUGUAUGUUUGGUCAGAUCUGUAAGAAACCAUUUCUACCCCACUGUAGCAAGCAGGUGUCUGACCUCUGGAGGGCGCUCUGCUGAAUCCUGAAGCCAGGCUAGGCUGGGCAUAGAAGCUAUUUAGUGACCCAUUGAAGAAAACAAGCCCUAUCAAGGGCAAAACCUGAGCAUUGGGCCUGCAUGCAUUCUACUCUGUGGGUGCCUAAAAGAGACAUCAUCUGUCUCCACUCUGCCUGGACAUGCUCAGCUGCAGGGCCUCCUUGGGCAAUCAAGGGACUGAUAAAGAAAGCCCUUGUAUGGUCCUCAGUGUUACCAGCGUUGCUGGCCCCGGUAGAGCUCCGUGCAGCUCUUAUCUCUAGAGCUUCCCUUCGGUUAACAAAGGAGGGCGCCUGGUGUGGAUUAGGAGCCCAAGCUCUUUGCAAGUUUGAGAUAGCAGAUUUCUGUAGGGUGGGGAGAAAGAAGCGAGUGCAUUUCUGCAAAUGUUUCCCUGAAAUCCUUGGGGAAAGCACAGGCAUGUGUGUGAACUGGCACUGCUGUCGGUCUUACAUUUGAUUAUAGGAAGUAAAUUUGUGGGGUCACUCCGGGGGCAGCCACGUUACUGUGACUGCCACCAGCUCAGGGUGGGCUGAGACACUCUGUGGAAUGCUUUGUGAUGCCAAAGUGGAUUUGCUAAGAAUGUCAUCUGCAGCCAUAUGGACACUGGUUUGAAUUACUCUGGGAGACAGGGUGUGUCUGUCGCAAGUGUGAGAUGUUUAUAUGCUCUGAGACCUUGAACUUUCCUUUGGGCAGCAGUAACAUGGGGUCAGGUCCUGGGGUGACAAACUCCUCCACCUCAUAGUCAAGGAUGAGUAGGAGACCUGACAGCAAAAUGGGGCAGAAAGAAGAUGGGGGAGGCAUCCCGGGGCUUUAGUGGCCUCGAGUGGAGCCCUGACAACACACAGACACAUGCAACGACUCUUGUAAGUAACAGCUCACCACCAGGAAGGUUCAUCUCUCCUAAGUAAGCAGUGACUUGUUGGGGGGAAGUCUCUCCUGUUUUAAAUGGUUGCCUUCUUUUCAACUGUGGCACUUUCUCUUCUUUUCGUUCAUUUUCCUUUUUCUCCCACGCUAAGAUCUCUUUCCUGUCUUUCUCUCUUUUCCACCUUACACUGUGGCCAUCAGUUCAUUUCAGCCUUCCAGUACUACACCCACUUCUUGGCUGACACACUUCCGCUCCAAGAAUCUCCCCCACUUUCUAGAAUGUCAACCAAAGAGAGCCCUCCUCCCUCUCAGCCUCUCUCUAGCUAGCCUCCCCUUCUCCUCGCAAGGCAUGUCUGUGACUUUGGUAAUCAUUUACAGUGCCACAUGGAACCCUGUAUUUUGCACACAGCAAAUGAUGUGUAGCUUUAUUUAUGGUAUUUGAUGCUGUAAAUGAAAAUAAAUAUGGUUCUUUUUAAAGCUCA